Molecule: ribosomal RNA, 301 nt
Filed under: uncultured bacterium
Lineage: Bacteria
Description: partial 16S ribosomal RNA
Rfam family: Bacterial small subunit ribosomal RNA
Source: RNAcentral
CAGCAGCCGCGGGAAUACCGAGGGUGCGAGCGUUAAUCGGAUUUACUGGGCGUAAAGCGUGCGUAGGCGGCUUCUUAAGUCGGAUGUGAAAUCCCUGAGCUUAACUUAGGAAUUGCAUUCGAUACUGGGAAGCUAGAGUAUGGGAGAGGAUGGUAGAAUUCCAGGUGUAGCGGUGAAAUGCGUAGAGAUCUGGAGGAAUACCGAUGGCGAAGGCAGCCAUCUGGCCUAAUACUGACGCUGAGGUACGAAAGCAUGGGGAGCAAACAGGAUUAGAGACCCCUGUAGUCCCUGUCUCUUAUAC